RNAcentral lists this ribosomal RNA (421 nucleotides) under uncultured bacterium. Its description in RNAcentral is "bacterial SSU rRNA". It matches the Rfam family "Bacterial small subunit ribosomal RNA", at positions 355 to 773 of the family's 1533-position model. The record is from RNAcentral.
UGUGGAAUAUUGGACAAUGGAUGGAAAUCUGAUCCAGCCAUGCCGCGUGCAGGAAGACGGCCCUAUGGGUUGUAAACUGCUUUUGUAUGGGAGCAAUAAGGACUACGUGUAGUUUGAUGAGAGUACCAUACGAAUAAGCAUCGGCUAACUACGUGCCAGCAGCCGCGGUAAUACGUAGGGGGCAAGCGUUGUCCGGAUUUACUGGGUGUAAAGGGUGCUCAGGCGGAUUUGUAAGUCAGAGGUGAAAUCUUACAGCUUAACUGUGAAACUGCCUUUGAUACUGCAAGCCUGGAGUAUGGAAGAGAGUGAUGGAAUAUCUGGUGUAGCAGUGAAAUGCGUAGAUAUCAGAUAGAACACCAAUGGCGAAGGCAGUCACUUGGUCCAUUACUGACGCUAAAGCACGAAAGCGUGGGUAGCAAAC